Molecule: long non-coding RNA, 1029 nt
Organism: Gallus gallus (chicken)
Lineage: Eukaryota; Metazoa; Chordata; Aves; Galliformes; Phasianidae
Source: Ensembl
GUUUUGUUUAUUUUAAGCAGGAAAAGAUGAGAAAGAGAGCGCUACCUGCCCCCAAAAACAGGUCCUGAGCUGCCAGUGCUCAGCACAACACCUUGAGGCUGAUGAAUGGGAAUUUCCAUCAGUCUUCAUUGAUCAUCUGGACAACGGGCAAAAAAAACAUAAUAUGAGCAUGCCAGACAGCGCUGCUGAAAACCAGUGACAUGAGUGUUUGAUGAGCUCCGCUUUCACAGUAUAUUGGGAAGAAAUGGGUAACAAAGCUGAAAAAACGUUAACCUCGUGUAAAAGAGACGUGCAUGUUUGGUGUUACCCUACUUGGAGCAGUGAUUCGGUGCAAGCGACCUCUUUUCCACGAGCAACCCCAAACCAGGACCUAUUUCUGGGCACUGCAUCCCUGCUUGAGCAAUCCUGGCGGAGCACUGAUCCCCAGCUCAGCCUCAGCAAUGGUUUCUCCUAGCCAUGGAGCCACCACUACCAACUUGCCCGGCAUCCUUAGAACCAUCGAAUCAUAGAAUCAAUAAGGCUAGAAAAGACCACUAAGAACAUCAAGACCAACCAUCAGCCCAUUGCCACAAAGUCUUGAUGUUGGGUUGAUCCCUGCACAGGGGCAGGAAGGCUCCCCACUGAACCCAACCCCAUCUGAGCCACCACGGACAGCUCCACAGCGGUGCACCCCAAUGGCAGCGGCUGCCGUAGCGUUGCCUUCCUUUGACAUUUCCAUGCAUUCUCUUUUUCUUGUUGAAACUGCAGUCUUGCACACUGAAACCUUUGUAUGAUUUGAUGAAUUUCCAGAAGGCACUUACUUCCCUGGGCAUCACGUGACUGCAGAAGUGGGGCACCAGCAACGCUGCUGCGAGCCCAGUGAAUUGUCGGGUCUCAGUGUAAUUAUAAGUGAGGAAUUAUCGGGAGAUGAACGUGUUUCUACUGGUGCAUCUCAGGGAUAUCUCUGGUUCUGAGAUCUCACGCUCCAUCCCCCCCUCUCCCACACGUGGUUGCAGCCAAAAAAUAAGUAAAAUAAAAGCUUUGUGCCUU